RNAcentral lists this ribosomal RNA (301 nucleotides) under uncultured bacterium. RNAcentral's name for it is "partial 16S ribosomal RNA". It matches the Rfam family "Bacterial small subunit ribosomal RNA", at positions 509 to 807 of the family's 1533-position model. The record is from RNAcentral.
CAGUAGCCGCGGUAACACGUAGUGUGCGAGCGUUAAUCGGAAUUACUGGGCGUAAAGCGUGCGCAGGCGGUUAUAUAAGACAGAUGUGAAAUCCCCGGGCUCAACCUGGGACCUGCAUUUGUGACUGUAUAGCUAGAGUACGGUAGAGGGGGAUGGAAUCCCGCGUGUAGCAGUGAAAUGCGUAGAUAUGCGGAGGAACACCGAUGGCGAAGGCAAUCCCCUGGACCUGUACUGACGCUCAUGCACGAAAGCGUGGGGAGCAAACAGGAUUAGAUACCCCAGUAGUCCCUGUCUCUUAUAC